This 466-nucleotide ribosomal RNA is filed under the name uncultured bacterium. Its description in RNAcentral is "partial 16S ribosomal RNA". It matches the Rfam family "Bacterial small subunit ribosomal RNA", at positions 28 to 507 of the family's 1533-position model. The record is from RNAcentral.
GAUGAACGCUGGCGGCGUGCUUAACACAUGCAAGUCGAACGAUGAAGCCCAGCUUGCUGGGUGGAUUAGUGGCGAACGGGUGAGUAACACGUGAGUAACCUGCCCUUGACUCUGGGAUAAGCCUGGGAAACUGGGUCUAAUACUGGAUAUGACUUCUCAUCGCAUGGUGGGGGGUGGAAAGAUUUAUUGGUCUUGGAUGGACUCGCGGCCUAUCAGCUUGUUGGUGAGGUAAUGGCUCACCAAGGCGACGACGGGUAGCCGGCCUGAGAGGGUGACCGGCCACACUGGGACUGAGACACGGCCCAGACUCCUACGGGAGGCAGCAGUAGGGAAUAUUGCACAAUGGGCGCAAGCCUGAUGCAGCGACGCCGCGUGAGGGAUGACGGCCUUCGGGUUGUAAACCUCUUUCAGUAGGGAAGAAGCGAGAGUGACGGUACCUGCAGAAGAAGCGCCGGCUAACUACGUG